CGCGGCCUAUCAGCUUGUUGGUGGGGUAGUGGCCUACCAAGGCGACGACGGGUAGCCGGCCUGAGAGGGUGACCGGCCACACUGGGACUGAGACACGGCCCAGACUCCUACGGGAGGCAGCAGUGGGGAAUAUUGCGCAAUGGGCGGAAGCCUGACGCAGCGACGCCGCGUGGGGGAUGACGGCCUUCGGGUUGUAAACCUCUUUCAGCAGGGACGAAGCGAGAGUGACGGUACCUGCAGGAGAAGCACCGGCCAACUACGUGCCAGCAGCCGCGGUAAUACGUAGGGUGCAAGCGUUGUCCGGAAUUAUUGGGCGUAAAGAGCUCGUAGGCGGUUUGUUGCGUCGGCUGUGAAAUCCCGAGGCUCAACCUCGGGUCUGCAGUCGAUACGAGCAAACUAGAGUGUUGCAGGGGAGACUGGAAUUCCUGGUGUAGCGGUGAAAUGCGCAGAUAUCAGGAGGAACACCGGUGGCGAAGGCGGGUCUCUGGGCAACAACUGACGCUGAGGAGCGAAAGCGUGGGGAGCGAACAGGAUUAGAUACCCUGGUAGUCCACGCCGUAAACGUUGGGCGCUAGGUGUGGGGCUCACUCCACGAGUUCCGUGCCGCAGCUAACGCAUUAAGCGCCCCGCCUGGGGAGUACGG
RNAcentral lists this ribosomal RNA (643 nucleotides) under uncultured bacterium. Its description in RNAcentral is "bacterial SSU rRNA". It matches the Rfam family "Bacterial small subunit ribosomal RNA", at positions 232 to 885 of the family's 1533-position model. The record is from RNAcentral.